GUCCCUUCGGGGACAUCCGAUAAAAUUGGAACGAUACAGAGAAGAUUAGCAUGGCCCCUGCACAAGGAUGACACGCACAAAUCAAGAAAUGGUCCAAUUUUUU
This 103-nucleotide small nuclear RNA is filed under the name Triticum aestivum (bread wheat). Lineage: Eukaryota; Viridiplantae; Streptophyta; Magnoliopsida; Poales; Poaceae. The record is from RNAcentral. RNAcentral also lists the same sequence under 1 other name.